CCUACGGGCGGCAGCAGUGGGGAAUAUUGGACAAUGGGCGAAAGCCUGAUCCAGCCAUGCCGCGUGUGUGAAGAAGGCCUUCGGGUUGUAAAGCACUUUCAGUGGGGAAGAAAGCCUUGGGGCUAAUACCCUCGAGGAAGGACAUCACCCACAGAAGAAGCACCGGCUAACUCCGUGCCAGCAGCCGCGGUAAUACGGAGGGUGCGAGCGUUAAUCGGAAUUACUGGGCGUAAAGCGCGCGUAGGCGGUCUGAUAAGCCGGUUGUGAAAGCCCCGGGCUCAACCUGGGAACGGCAUCCGGAACUGUCAGGCUAGAGUGCAGGAGAGGAAGGUAGAAUUCGCGGUGUAGCAGUGAAAUGCGUAGAGAUCGGGAGGAAUACCAGUGGCGAAGGCGGCCUUCUGGACUGACACUGACGCUGAGGUGCGAAAGCGUGGGUAGCAAACAGGAUUAGAUACCCCAGUAGUC
Molecule: ribosomal RNA, 465 nt
Filed under: Vreelandella stevensii
Lineage: Bacteria; Pseudomonadati; Pseudomonadota; Gammaproteobacteria; Oceanospirillales; Halomonadaceae
Description: partial 16S ribosomal RNA
Rfam family: Bacterial small subunit ribosomal RNA
Source: RNAcentral